This 433-nucleotide ribosomal RNA is filed under the name uncultured bacterium. RNAcentral describes it as "partial 16S ribosomal RNA". It matches the Rfam family "Bacterial small subunit ribosomal RNA", at positions 29 to 507 of the family's 1533-position model. The record is from RNAcentral.
AACGAACGCUGGCGGCAUGCCUAACACAUGCAAGUCGAACGAGACCUUCGGGUCUAGUUGCGCACGGGUGCGUAACGCGUGGGAACCUGCCCUUAGGUUCGGAAUAACUCCCCGAAAGGGGUGCUAAUACCGGAUAAUGUCUUCGGACCAAAGAUUUAUCGCCUUUGGAUGGGCCCGCGUUGGAUUAGCUAGUUGGUAGGGUAAAAGCCUACCAAGGCGACGAUCCAUAGCUGGUCUGAGAGGAUGAUCAGCCACACUGGGACUGAGACACGGCCCAGACUCCUACGGGAGGCAGCAGUGGGGAAUAUUGGACAAUGGGCGAAAGCCUGAUCCAGCAAUGCCGCGUGAGUGAUGAAGGCCUUAGGGUUGUAAAGCUCUUUUACCCGGGAUGAUAAUGACAGUACCGGGAGAAUAAGCUCCGACUAACUCCGUG